GGAGAGGUGGCCGAGUGGUUUAAGGCGGCUGUCUUGAAAACAGUUGAGUGAUGAGCUCCGGGGGUUCGAAUCCCUCCCUCUCCG
Molecule: transfer RNA, 84 nt
Filed under: Chloroflexota bacterium
Lineage: Bacteria; Bacillati; Chloroflexota
Also listed under: 2 other names
Description: tRNA-Ser
Rfam family: tRNA
About the family: Transfer RNA (tRNA) molecules are approximately 80 nucleotides in length. Their secondary structure includes four short double-helical elements and three loops (D, anti-codon, and T loops). Further hydrogen bonds mediate the characteristic L-shaped molecular structure. tRNAs have two regions of fundamental functional importance: the anti-codon, which is responsible for specific mRNA codon recognition, and the 3' end, to which the tRNAs corresponding amino acid is attached (by aminoacyl-tRNA synthetases). tRNAs cope with the degeneracy of the genetic code in two manners: having more than one tRNA (with a specific anti-codon) for a particular amino acid; and 'wobble' base-pairing, i.e. permitting non-standard base-pairing at the 3rd anti-codon position.
Source: RNAcentral